RNAcentral lists this transfer RNA (75 nucleotides) under Chlorobium sp. RNAcentral describes it as "tRNA-Leu". The record is from RNAcentral. Lineage: Bacteria; Pseudomonadati; Chlorobiota; Chlorobiia; Chlorobiales; Chlorobiaceae.
UUGAAUGUUUUAAAAUAGCUUCUAGCCUGCUUCGGGAGCAGGGGGUCGCAAGUUCAAUUCUUGUCAUCCCGACCA